Molecule: transfer RNA, 68 nt
Filed under: Penicillium arizonense
Lineage: Eukaryota; Fungi; Ascomycota; Eurotiomycetes; Eurotiales; Aspergillaceae
Rfam family: tRNA
About the family: Transfer RNA (tRNA) molecules are approximately 80 nucleotides in length. Their secondary structure includes four short double-helical elements and three loops (D, anti-codon, and T loops).
Source: Rfam by way of RNAcentral
GGUUCCAUAACUCAGUUGGUUAGAGCGUGGUGCUAAUAACGCCAAAGUCGAGGGUUCCUCUGGAACCA